RNAcentral lists this ribosomal RNA (404 nucleotides) under uncultured eukaryote. Its description in RNAcentral is "SSU rRNA". It matches the Rfam family "Eukaryotic small subunit ribosomal RNA", at positions 587 to 972 of the family's 1831-position model. The record is from RNAcentral.
AGCUCCAAUAGCGUAUAUUAAAGUUGUUGCGGUUAAAAAGCUCGUAGUUGACCUUCAGUUCCGGACUGACGGUGCACCGCCCGGUGUCUGUCCGUCAUGCUCCGAACAGCAGGGGAUCACCCUGCCCGGCCGGCUCGCACGGGGUGCUCUUCAUCGAGUGUCCCGCGUGGCCGGCGAGUUUACUUUGAAAAAAUUAGAGUGCUCAAAGCAGGCUACUCGAAUGGCCUGAAUGGUGAUGCAUGGAAUAAUGAAAUAGGACCUCGGUUCUAUUUUAUUGGUUUUCGGAACCCGAGGUAAUGACUAAUAGAAACAGGCGGGGGCAUUCGUACUGCGACGCUAGAGGUGAAAUUCUUGGACCGUCGCAAGACGAACUACUGCGAAAGCAUUUGCCAAGGAUGUUUUCA